This 830-nucleotide ribosomal RNA is filed under the name uncultured Bacteroidota bacterium. Its description in RNAcentral is "bacterial SSU rRNA". It matches the Rfam family "Bacterial small subunit ribosomal RNA", at positions 527 to 1356 of the family's 1533-position model. The record is from RNAcentral. Lineage: Bacteria; Pseudomonadati; Bacteroidota.
GGAGGGUGCAAGCGUAUCCGGAUUCACUGGGUUUAAAGGGUGCGUAGGUGGGUUGGUAAGUCAGUGGUGAAAUCCCCGAGCUUAACUUGGGAACUGCCAUUGAUACUAUCAGUCUUGUAUACCGUGGAGGUCAGCGGAAUAUGUCAUGUAGCGGUGAAAUGCUUAGAUAUGACAUAGAACACCAAUUGCGAAGGCAGCUGGCUACACGAAUAUUGACACUGAGGCACGAAAGCGUGGGGAUCAAACAGGAUUAGAUACCCUGGUAGUCCACGCCCUAAACUAUGGAUACUCGACAUUUGCGAUACACUGCAAGUGUCUGAGCGAAAGCAUUAAGUAUCCCACCUGGGAAGUACGAUCGCAAGAUUGAAACUCAAAGGAAUUGGCGGGGGUCCGCACCCAAGCNGGUGGAGCAUGUGGUUUAAUUCGAUGAUACGCGAGGAACCUUACCUGGGCUAGAAUGCUGGGAGACCGUGAGUGAAAGCUCAUUUUGUAGCAAUACACUGCCAGUAAGGUGCUGCAUGGCUGUCGUCAGCUCGUGCCGUGAGGUGUUGGGUUAAGUCCCGCAACGAGCGCAACCCCCAUCACUAGUUGCCAUCAGGUAACGCUGGGAACUCUAGUGAAACUGCCGUCGUAAGACGUGAGGAAGGAGGGGAUGAUGUCAAGUCAUCAUGGCCUUUAUGCCCAGGGCUACACACGUGCUACAAUGGGGCGUACAAAGGGCUGCAACAUAGUGAUAUGGAGCUAAUCCCAAAAAACGCCUCUCAGUUCAGAUUGGAGUCUGCAACUCGACUCCAUGAAGCUGGAAUCGCUAGUAAUCGUAUAUCAGCAAU